RNAcentral lists this ribosomal RNA (227 nucleotides) under uncultured Bacteroides sp. RNAcentral's name for it is "partial 16S ribosomal RNA". It matches the Rfam family "Bacterial small subunit ribosomal RNA", at positions 383 to 607 of the family's 1533-position model. The record is from RNAcentral. Lineage: Bacteria; Pseudomonadati; Bacteroidota; Bacteroidia; Bacteroidales; Bacteroidaceae.
CUGAACCAGCCAAGUAGCGUGAAGGAUGAAGGUCCUACGGAUUGUAAACUUCUUUUAUACGGGAAUAAAGUAUCCUACGUGUAGGAUUUUGUAUGUACCGUAUGAAUAAGCAUCGGCUAACUCCGUGCCAGCAGCCGCGGUAAUACGGAGGAUGCGAGCGUUAUCCGGAUUUAUUGGGUUUAAAGGGAACGCAGACGGGAGAUUAAGUCAGUUGUGAAAGUUUGCGG